RNAcentral lists this long non-coding RNA (1981 nucleotides) under Nicotiana tabacum (common tobacco). RNAcentral's name for it is "long non-coding RNA (NTAB_LNC014984)". The record is from RNAcentral. Lineage: Eukaryota; Viridiplantae; Streptophyta; Magnoliopsida; Solanales; Solanaceae.
AAAACUCUGACACGAUGACUCAUAGACUCGGCUGCACUCCGAAUGAGUUGGAGUCUUACCGAUCCUUCGCUGAAUGCCAAUCUCGUCUACUAUGAAGACUCGUCAAACUAAUUGUCUAUACCUACAGGCAUGAAUGCAGCAUCCCCAACAAAAGGACGUCAGUACGAAUAAUGUACUAAGUAUGUAAGGCGGAACUGAAACAUAACAAUAAGUCAACAUUAAAUUAAAGACAUAUAAGAAUCAACCUGAAUCUUUGAAGUGACACCUUAUCUGCAUACUUAUCAUACUUACAUAUAUAGUGCUUCUUUUUAAGACUAUUAUCCCUAUCGCAUGAUGCAUGAAUGCCCAACUGAUCAGUGGUAACUGCCCGACCGGCCGUCGCACGGUGGUAAAUGUUUGACUGCCCAACCGGUGGUAAAUAAUGAUAUAUAACUGCCCGACCGGCUGUAGCCCGAUGGUAAAUGCAUAUCUGCCCAACCGGCCGUAGCACAGUGGUAAAUGAAUAUGCAUGACUGCCCAACCGACCGUAGCAUGGUGGUAAAUAUGUAACUGCCUAACCGGGCGUAGCUCGGUGGUACAAGACACAUAAGAUACAACAUAAUAGCAUCAGGGACAGAAGAGACCAAUAGUUAAGCUCCACAAGAACAAAACAACAACCAAACAUACAUAGAUAGUACAAGAAUCCAGCAUUUUGUGGUUUCAUAAAAUGAUAGAUUUAUUGUUCUUUAUCAUAUUGAAUCUUUUCAGUACAUGAAAAUCCCAAUUUUUGUAUAGAUCUGCACUAUCUUAGAGCUGGUAUAACUUUUACAGUUAUAAAAUUAUUACUUACCUUCUCAAGAAAAAUCCAGCAUUAUAUGGUAAGUCUCACAUUAAAUGCUUUAAUCAAUCAUUGCUCAAUCUUACAUGAAUAUAAGAAAUAUGCUACAAAUAUUAAUAAUAACCUUCAUAGCUACGCUCUGUUCCAACCAACAUAAAUAAGGAAAACCUGACAUACGUUCACUCAAGCCUAGCUUGUACUCCUAUUUAACAGUGUAUCAAGAAUCUUUUGUAUCGAGUUCACAACUAUGUCAUCGUUGGGCAAUUUAUAUUGGAUCUAAGUCAUGUUUCAUUUGUGUGCUAAGUAUGUUUCUCAAAUAUCUUCUGGUAAUAAGGCCAAAUGGUGCAAUGACACUAAGGAAUUUACUUAUAUAACAAAGAAACACACCAAAGAUUCCAUUCAUUUCAUGUGAUUCACUUUUACAUUUGAGUUGUACCCAAAAGGGCCUGCAUAACCUACAAUUACAAUUUGAUCUGUCUUACUCAUGGAAGAAUACUGAUACAAGACAAAUUGAAAAGAGUUUACUUAACAUAUGAACUAUCAAUCUCUCACUUUAAAGGAGUGGAAUGUCACCGGUAUAUAGAAACAGGAGGAAACUUGAACUUAUCCGAGAUGAAUGGUAUUACUACGUUAUAAACGUUAACAUCUUGUCAUAUACCUCAAUAAGGAAUAUACUUAUACAUGCUUGAAUAUUACUUUACCGGAAUAAAUAAUAUAGACAUCCUUAACUGCUAAGUGUAGAACCACUUGUGAAAUAACAUUACGUAUACAUAUCGUUACUUGGAUCAUGCCAAAAGAAAGAAGGAAUAGCCUUAACAUACCUGAGCCGGUUCUCCGGACAAUCCUCUAACACACGACAAUUGCGAAAAACACGUGACAGCAAGAUCGGAAUAGGGAAAAUCUGUAUGAUAUUCUUGAGAACGAUUGCACCGUACUUCUUUAAAAUUGCAACGACAGUGUUACAAGAACAGAAUAGGCUUCUCGUUGCUUGUCUUGGACGUUCUUUUGUGUAUCAUGUCCAUAUAUGUGAAGAGUUGCAAAAAGUAAUAUGAACAACCAAAAGAUAAUGCUAAACGUGAAAAUGGUUGAGUUGGAAAUGCUAUACUUAGUUGUCUAAAGUUCUUGUUCAUGUGGAUAGGAUUGCAGAGAAUAUUAAGGUUCUAC